GGAAGUGAUUUCUAGGGUUCCGGCCCCAAUCCCCCGGGGGUGUCUGGUCCAAGAGAAGUCCACUGGGGUCACCCAGGUGCACGGAGGGACAAAAGCCCGGGAGAC
This 105-nucleotide small RNA is filed under the name unclassified sequences. Its description in RNAcentral is "Candidatus Synechococcus Guanidine-I sequence". It matches the Rfam family "Guanidine-I riboswitch aptamer". From Rfam's summary of the family: This family represents a conserved RNA structure found upstream of the ykkC and yxkD genes in Bacillus subtilis and related genes in other bacteria. The function of this family is unclear although it has been suggested that it may function to switch on efflux pumps and detoxification systems in response to harmful environmental molecules. Nelson showed that this riboswitch senses and responds to guanidine and it was renamed Guanidine-I riboswitch. The record is from RNAcentral.